Long non-coding RNA from Lycium barbarum (goji berry), 1224 nucleotides. RefSeq lists it as uncharacterized. The transcript is spliced from 4 exons. Lineage: Eukaryota; Viridiplantae; Streptophyta; Magnoliopsida; Solanales; Solanaceae. The record is from RefSeq and is a predicted model, not a curated record.
GGGGGGGGGGGGGGUAGAAAGAGGAAUGCUGACAUGUCAUGAUGGGUGGAUUCCACAUAAUAAUUCCAAUUUAAAAAAUCCCCUCACACACCAUGUAAUAUUUGUGUCUCACCCGUCGUAAAACUUCUCCUUCUCGAGAGGCGCCUCAAGAAAAUUGCACUGUUUAGUCUCUUCAAGAAUCAGAAACAAUCUAGGUUCCAACAAUCUCACCCUUCCAUCUUCUGGAAAACAGGUUAGUAGCAUCUUCCCUCUCAAAAAGUGGUAAUACUCCAACUCUUUCUUAUUAAAGCUAUUUCAAUUUGCUCAGUAAAUUUGCAAAGCUACUGUCAGCACAAGUUGCAUAUGUUUUUUUGAAAUGUUAUACGCCACCAUCUAUUUGAUAUGCAUGUUAUAAACAAACUUGGAACCACAAAUUGUAUUACUAUUCUUUUAUUUCUUCUUUGUCCCUAUAACCGUCCAGAUUCAGCGCACAUGGUGACUGAAAAAGAAUUAUCAAACAAAUAUGUACCUAUAAGAAAAAUACCAAAGUAUUCAUUGCAAUGGGUCAUGAAAGUAUUGGUCACUAGACGGGGUUCAAUAAUACCUUACAAGAAUCCUCGUCAUGAAGGCAUUUUCAGAACUGUCAUAUUAGUCGAUGAGGAGGGGACAAAGAUCCAGGAACCCUAUUUAAAAACAUGUUGAAACAUGGAAGGAGUUCCUGAAACCAAAUAAGAGCUACUACAUUAUCAUGGUCGUUUGGAUCGCGUCAGCCCCAACUACUCCUCCGUGCACAAAGAAGUUGAAUUGGCUUUCACCGAUAACACGAUAGUAAAGGAGUCCGUGCAUGACGUUCCCACAACAAAUUCUCAAAUGUCCCUUAAUUCAUGAAGUGCACAGGGAGACAGGCUUGAUCCAUAGCCGCUUAUCCAGAGAUUGCAUAGCAGAGCUCCAUUUCUUUCGGAGCCGCAGCUUUUGGGUAUUCAUUCUUUUGUGUAAAUAAUUAUGGGCAUAGCGGGGUCCUGUCCCGCUCAUACGAUAUGUCAUACUCUUAGAGGCUCGUAGUCAUGUGUAUGUGGGUAGAGAUGUUCGGCCAUGUCGGCCCAUGUUUUGUAUAUCUUUUGUUGGCCUCGUCGGCCUUGUACUUACGAUGUGGCAUAGAUGCCUAUGAUAUGUUAAAUGAUGAUGGUCGUCUAAUGGGAUCAAUAUGAUUAACGAUAAGAGAAGCACGAAUUGACUUAUGGUUCA